CAAACGUAUUGUAAAUGGCGGGUGACGUGCUGGGAACUAUAGUACCUCGAAGGUGCUCAUGAAAGUUUCCAUUGGCUUAUAACCUAACCUAAUCAUAGCCAAAGCAUAAUUGAUUCUUCCUUCGGGAAGAAUAAGGGCUAAGCGGCUGGUUUAUAAUACCAUUUGCGCCCAGGUUGGAGACUGGUUUCUGCAGCCCUUCUUCCAGACAAAAAAGUUAUUGGGUAAUCUACGCGUCACCCCUUGUUUUGGCCAUUAGCGAUUUACUUUUU
This 269-nucleotide non-coding RNA is filed under the name Nomada fabriciana. The record is from RNAcentral. Lineage: Eukaryota; Metazoa; Arthropoda; Insecta; Hymenoptera; Apidae.